Molecule: transfer RNA, 73 nt
Filed under: Operophtera brumata (winter moth)
Lineage: Eukaryota; Metazoa; Arthropoda; Insecta; Lepidoptera; Geometridae
Rfam family: tRNA
About the family: Transfer RNA (tRNA) molecules are approximately 80 nucleotides in length. Their secondary structure includes four short double-helical elements and three loops (D, anti-codon, and T loops). Further hydrogen bonds mediate the characteristic L-shaped molecular structure. tRNAs have two regions of fundamental functional importance: the anti-codon, which is responsible for specific mRNA codon recognition, and the 3' end, to which the tRNAs corresponding amino acid is attached (by aminoacyl-tRNA synthetases). tRNAs cope with the degeneracy of the genetic code in two manners: having more than one tRNA (with a specific anti-codon) for a particular amino acid; and 'wobble' base-pairing, i.e. permitting non-standard base-pairing at the 3rd anti-codon position.
Source: Rfam by way of RNAcentral
CGUUCUAUGGCCGAACUGGUGAAAGCAUCACCAGUUACAGGCAAAGAUGCGGGUUCGAGUCUCGCUGGAAUGG